UUCAAAAAGAACUAGGGGGUCUGAC
RNAcentral lists this non-coding RNA (25 nucleotides) under Mus musculus (house mouse). Lineage: Eukaryota; Metazoa; Chordata; Mammalia; Rodentia; Muridae. The record is from RNAcentral.